RNAcentral lists this ribosomal RNA (250 nucleotides) under uncultured bacterium. RNAcentral's name for it is "partial 16S ribosomal RNA". It matches the Rfam family "Bacterial small subunit ribosomal RNA", at positions 57 to 305 of the family's 1533-position model. The record is from RNAcentral.
GCAAGUCGAGCGGUAACAGAGAUAGCUUGCUAUCUGCUGACGAGCGGCGGACGGGUGAGUAAUGCUUGGGAAUAUGCCUUGAGGUGGGGGACAACAGUUGGAAACGACUGCUAAUACCGCAUAAUGUCUACGGACCAAAGGAGGGGAUCUUCGGACCUUUCGCCUUUAGAUUAGCCCAAGUGAGAUUAGCUAGUAGGUAAGGUAAUGGCUUACCUAGGCGACGAUCUCUAGCUGGUUUGAGAGGAUGAUC